This 311-nucleotide long non-coding RNA is filed under the name Bos taurus (domestic cattle). RNAcentral describes it as "long non-coding RNA NONBTAT009303". Lineage: Eukaryota; Metazoa; Chordata; Mammalia; Artiodactyla; Bovidae. The record is from RNAcentral.
GCUGUCCCCUAAAGAUGAAGUGCUCUAAAAUUAUAUUUCAUUUUCCAAAUUCUCUUGUCUUCUUAGCCAUCUUUUCAGGAUUUAAACGCAUUUUUCUUUAUGGGGCUAGGUAGUUGCAUUAAAGAUUGUUUCAGUAUAAUGACAUGCCACCAAAACAUGAAUGACUUUUGUAGUGAUAUUUUGUUUUUUUUAGAUCCAUUUUCACAGCCCAUGUUAUAUUAGUAUACUAUUAUAGCAAUAUAAACCUUGUUUCAGUGUUAUUUCUGUAUUUGUGAUAGUAAUCUGCUAUGAAUAAAACUAGUUUCAAUUUU